UCCAGACUCCUACGGGAGGCAGCAGUGGGGAAUAUUGCACAAUGGGGGGAAACCCUGAUGCAGCGACGCCGCGUGAGCGAAGAAGUACCUCGGUAUGUAAAGCUCUAUCAGCAGGGAAGAAGAUGACGGUACCUGACCAAGAAGCUCCGGCUAAAUACGUGCCAGCAGCCGCGGUAAUACGUAUGGAGCAAGCGUUAUCCGGAUUUACUGGGUGUAAAGGGAGCGCAGGCGGCCUUGCAAGUCUGAUGUGAAAGGCCGGGGCCCAACCCCGGGACUGCAUUGGAAACUGCGAGGCUGGAGUGUCGGAGAGGCAGGCGGAAUUCCUAGUGUAGCGGUGAAAUGCGUAGAUAUUAGGAGGAACACCAGUGGCGAAGGCGGCUUACUGGACGGCAACUGACGCUGAGGCUCGAAAGCGUGGGGAGCAAACAGGAUUAGAUACCCCAGUA
Molecule: ribosomal RNA, 446 nt
Filed under: uncultured bacterium
Lineage: Bacteria
Description: partial 16S ribosomal RNA
Rfam family: Bacterial small subunit ribosomal RNA
Source: RNAcentral